AACGAACGCUGGCGGCGUGGAUAAGACAUGCAAGUCGCACGGAUUUUCAUCUGUAGCAAUACAGGUGGAGGUCAGUGGCGCAAGGGUGCGUAACACGUGGGCAACCUGCCCUCGAGCCUGGGAUAGCCCGCCGAAAGGCGGAUUAAUACCGGAUGUGGCUACCGAAGGAUUCUUCGGGACGCUAAAGGUGGCGCAAGCUGCCGCUCCUGGAUGGGGCCCCGCGGCCUANCAGCUUGUUGGUGAGGUAACGGCUCACCAAGGCUAUGACGGGUAGCUGGUCUGAGAGGACGACCAGCCACACUGGAACUGAGACACGGUCCAGACACCUACGGUGGCAGCAGUCGAGAAUUUUUCUUCAAUGGGGCGAACCCU
This 372-nucleotide ribosomal RNA is filed under the name uncultured bacterium. RNAcentral describes it as "bacterial SSU rRNA". It matches the Rfam family "Bacterial small subunit ribosomal RNA", at positions 29 to 384 of the family's 1533-position model. The record is from RNAcentral.